CAAACCAAUCAUUCCCGUAAAGGAUUUUCUCUUUAUUUUACUUUCUUUCGAAUUACUUAUUUUGUUUUUCUUU
Molecule: transfer RNA, 73 nt
Filed under: Mucuna gigantea
Lineage: Eukaryota; Viridiplantae; Streptophyta; Magnoliopsida; Fabales; Fabaceae
Description: tRNA-Glu
Source: RNAcentral